GACGAACGCUGGCGGCGUGCCUAAUACAUGCAAGUCGAACGGUGAAGAGAGGAUCUUGCUCUUCUCGGGAGAGUUGCACACGGGUGAGUAACGUGUAGGUACCCUGCCUUGUAGCGGGGGAUCACCAUUGGACAGGAUAGCUAAUACCGCAUAACCAUGGAUGACACAUGUCAGUUAUUUGAAGGGGGCAAUUGCUGCAUUACAAGAUGGACCUGCGUUGUAUUAGCGAGUAGGUGAGGUAAUGGCUCAUCUAGGCGACGUUACAUAGACGACCUGAGAGGGUGGGCGGCCACGCUGGGACGGUGACACGGCCAAGAGGACUAGGGGAGAGACCAGGAGGGAAUCUUCAGGCAUGGGGGCAACGCUGACCGAGCAACGCGGCGUGAGUGAAGAAGAAUUUCGGGUCGUAGAGGUCUGUUGUAAGGUAAGAAAGGGUGUGAGAGUGGAACGUUCAGACAGUGACGGUAGCGGAACAAAAAGCAACGGCUAACUACGUG
RNAcentral lists this ribosomal RNA (497 nucleotides) under uncultured bacterium. Its description in RNAcentral is "partial 16S ribosomal RNA". It matches the Rfam family "Bacterial small subunit ribosomal RNA", at positions 28 to 507 of the family's 1533-position model. The record is from RNAcentral.